This 315-nucleotide long non-coding RNA is filed under the name Mytilus galloprovincialis (Mediterranean mussel). Lineage: Eukaryota; Metazoa; Mollusca; Bivalvia; Mytilida; Mytilidae. The record is from RNAcentral.
AAAUACUGUUUACUGCUGGGCUAUAUUUAUGUGAUCUUAUACUUUUCAGAUGGGGAAUGUCUGUUGUAGUGGAAAAGGAAAUGGAAUGGGACCAAUAAAUAAAUUCUGUAAAUGUGGUGGACCACGACCGAAAUCUGGACAUUCUAGGAAGGGAAGUGGACAUUCUAGGAAGGGAAGUGGUAAGGGACGAAGAUCACCUAAAGGGUCACCUAAAGGAAGACGAAGGAAGGGAUCACACAGUAGUUAAUGAAUAUUAUGGUGGGAACUCUUUAAACAGUAUUAUAUAGAUGUGAACUCUCAAAUAUAUGAUAAGAC